This 64-nucleotide transfer RNA is filed under the name Eophreatoicus karrkkanj. RNAcentral describes it as "tRNA-Glu". Lineage: Eukaryota; Metazoa; Arthropoda; Malacostraca; Isopoda; Amphisopidae. The record is from RNAcentral.
GCUUGUAGGGUGUAAAUUAACAUGUCGCGGUUUCAGCGCGGAGUAAAUAAUUAAUUUGCAAGCU